UUACUCAGGUUUACCGUUAAUGAUGACAUGGUUUGAUAUUCUUAUGCUAUUUGGACUCAAUUGCAUGUUGCUUCCAUGUGAAGGAGUUGUCUAUCCACCAUCUAGUGGAAAAAACCUGAUUUUUCUACCUGGAUCAAAUGCAAAAAUUGAGUGGACAUUUGAUGAUAAAAUAACUAGUGAUGAUUUUCGAAUUUGGAGUUUCACAAGUACGGACGGUUCCUUUAAUUCAAGAAUCCUUGCUUUUAUACGGGGUAAUGGUAACGCUACGAUACGCGUCAGCUUCCCUGUGAUUUCAAUAGAAAAGCCAGCAACAUUAGUUUUAAGGAACGUUGAUCGCCGUUAUGAUGGAAAAUACAGGCUCAGAGUUAGUGCGGUUACGGAAACUAAUUCUGAGGUUAUCGUGAUUAUUGCAGUUGCACCAAAUAUAACAUUCAGUUGUUUCAAUUCAAGUACGGUAAACGAAGGUGAAAAUUUCACAUGUGUAUGUAAAGGAGAAGGUGGCAGGCCGACUGCUAAUGUUACUUGGUAUGAUAAAAAUGGCGUCCAGAUUGGUGUGACAGGAAGAGGAAAACAGUUAUUGACACUAACUAAUGUCGAUAAAACCCACAGUGGAACUUACACGUGCAAAGCUCAAAGCCAUAUCAAUGCAACAGAUAAAAAUUCAAUUGAAAUAAGAAUUAGACUUAUCUUCAGGAAACCAGGAAAAACAAAAAUUAAAUUUACUCCAGAAAAAGUUGUACUUGGUCGAUCAAUAAACAUAACGUGUGAAUCAGAUGGUCAUCCUGAACCAAGUUAUAUCAUAACUCAUAAUGACACAGAGGUCAGCAAUGGGAAAACGUUCACCAUACAUGAUGUAAACUACACUCACGCUGGAAAAUACAAAUGCUUUGCAAAGAAUGAAUUUGGAAAUGACUCUGCCUCUGAUUUCUUAGUCCUAAUCGAACCCGAGCCAGUACGAUCAUCAACAAAUCUGCCAACGACAAAUCAGACGAGCUUGCAGACGAAUCCUGUGACUGCGACUACGCCUCAAGCAGGUGAUGGAUCAGGGAAAAUUUACGAGAAAUGCAAUGGUGAAGUUAGUACUAAAUGGUAUAUCAUUGUUGUGACUUUGGUGUCUGGAAUUAUCAUUGGAGUUCUCUCAUAUGUUGCCGUGUGUUUUCGUCGAAAGUUCAAAAGUAGAAAACCUUCUUCGAACUCUGAACCUCCAACAACUGAACUUGAUCCAAAUUAUCGAGAACUGGACCUUACCAGAAUGAACACAGAAGAUAAUUAUCAAUCACUGAGAGGGGAUGUUGCAAGAAACGACGGUGUUAUUAGCGAUGAAUCAAAUUAUACCGCGUUGGCCGAAGUCAGGGAUGUCGAGAGCAAUUAUCAACCUUUAACUUGAAUCAACAGUUGGCUAGUUCCCUACUCUUUUUUUAAAGAGGAACAAGAAAGAUACAAUUUAUUGGUUUCUUCUUAACUUCCAUAAGAAAGGUCGAUCAUGUUUUUAUCUUUAAACAACUUUUAAUGAUGCUUUUUGGUGCUAUGCGUGAAGGGUUUGAAAUAUUUAGCAGCUACAGCAGACUAAAAGAGUAGCUUUUUCGCUUUUUCUAUUCAUAUUAUUCCCGGAAUAUGAAAUAUCUCGCGCAAGUGUCUUGUCAAGCGCCACAUUUUCAUAAGUAACGCCAAAUCUCAAUAUGCAAAUAAUAAACUGGUCUAAUCAAAUUUUCCGGCCCCGUUUUUGACACCAGCUGAUUUGAACGGACGAUUUUUAAAAUCUGCAAAGAGGGAUUUUGAAUUGCUAUCGUUUAACAGACAGCCUUAAAAUAGUUCGAACAGUGCGCGUAAAAUAUGUCUAAUUUGCAAUAUUGUUCUAAGUAGAAGGAAUUACAAAACACUAUUCAAGGAAUUCUGGACUUGUGUAUGUUCACUUACCAUGCAGAAAAUAAUAUGGUUAUCAACGAGGAAGUAAAACAAGGAUCAAACUAGUUGGAGCCUAGCUAGCUUGACCAGUUCUCACUUCUUGUCUAAACAAAUGUAGUUGCCGUAUAAGAGGAGCAGUAAGUCCACCAGUUGAUGCUGUUGAUGGGAACAAAUUUAUUUUAUUACCUGGAUCAACUGUGAGCA
RNAcentral lists this unclassified non-coding RNA (2109 nucleotides) under Dendronephthya gigantea. Its description in RNAcentral is "neural cell adhesion molecule 1-like, transcript variant X1". Lineage: Eukaryota; Metazoa; Cnidaria; Anthozoa; Malacalcyonacea; Nephtheidae. The record is from RNAcentral.